GUCUAUGAUGAUGACACCCUGAACAUUCCCGAUCUCGCCUGAUCUCGGAAGCUAAGCAGGGUUAAGCUGGUUAGUACUUGGAUGGGAGACACGUUUUGAGAGGCAGGUAUAGAAA
This 115-nucleotide ribosomal RNA is filed under the name Pteropus alecto (black flying fox). Lineage: Eukaryota; Metazoa; Chordata; Mammalia; Chiroptera; Pteropodidae. The record is from RNAcentral.